GAUGAACGCUGGCGGCGUGCCUAAUACAUGCAAGUCGAGCGAACGGACGAGAAGCUUGCUUCUCUGAUGUUAGCGGCGGACGGGUGAGUAACACGUGGAUAACCUACCUAUAAGACUGGGAUAACUUCGGGAAACCGUAGCUAAUACCGGAUAAUAUUUUGAACAGCAUGGUUCAAAAGUGAAAGACGGUCUUGCUGUCACUUAUAGAUGUAUCCGCGCUGCAUUAGCUAGUUGGUAAGGUAACGGCUUACCAAGGCAACGCUGCAUAGCCGACCUGAGAGGGUGAUCUGCCACACUGGAACUGAGACACGGUCCAGACUCCUACGGGAGGCAGCAGUAGGGAAUCGUCCGCAAUGGGCGAAAGCCUGACGGAGCAACGCCGCGUGAGUGAUGAAGGUCUUCGGAUCGUAAAACUCUGUUAUUAGGGAAGAACAUAUGUGUAAGUAACUGUGCACAUCUUGACGGUACCUAAUCAGAAAGCCACGGCUAACUACGUG
This 497-nucleotide ribosomal RNA is filed under the name uncultured bacterium. Its description in RNAcentral is "partial 16S ribosomal RNA". It matches the Rfam family "Bacterial small subunit ribosomal RNA", at positions 28 to 507 of the family's 1533-position model. The record is from RNAcentral.